Long non-coding RNA from Zingiber officinale, 120 nucleotides. RefSeq lists it as uncharacterized. The transcript is spliced from 3 exons. NCBI's taxonomy places the organism in Eukaryota, Viridiplantae, Streptophyta, Magnoliopsida, Zingiberales, Zingiberaceae. The record is from RefSeq and is a predicted model, not a curated record.
AAUAACUUGAUCACAUGGCAAGCUUUCUUCAGGCUGCUGUUGAUUACAAAAAGAAACUUGGCUUCAAGGGAAAUCUGCUUUUGGAACCCAGGCCGCAAGAACCUACAAAACACCAGUAUG